UCGGGGCGCGCUGGGGCCCGGAGCGCGAAGUGCAGGCAGCUCUAGUCGUCUGGGUCUCGGCGGCUGCACCGAGUGCAGGCCGGCCGGCCUCGCCGCUGAAACAGCGGGCCAUGGAGCGGGUGCUGAUCGUGGGCGCCGGGCUGACGGGAAGCUUGUGCGCAGCGCUGCUGAGGAAGGAGGCGUCCCGUCCUUUGCACCUCGCCGUGUGGGACAAGGCUGGGGACUCAGGGGGAAGAAUGACUACAGCCGGCAGUCCUUACAAUCCACAGAGCACGGUCGACUUGGGCGCCCAGUACAUCACCUGCACUUCUCAUUAUGCCAAAAAACAUCAAAGCUUUUAUGAUGAACUGUUAGCUCGGGGCAUUUUGAAGCCUCUGAUCUCUUGUAUUGAAGGAAUGGUGAUAAAAGACGGAGACUGUAACUUUGUGGCACCUCAAGGAGUUUCUUCAAUUGUUAACCAUUACUUGAAAGAAUCAGGUGCUGAAAUCUGCUUCAGACAACAUGUGACCCAGAUCAACCUGAGAAAUGACAAGUGGGAAGUCUCCAAGGAAACAGGCUCCCCUGAGCAGUUUGAGAUUGUUGUCCUCACGAUGCCAGUUCCUCAGAUCCUGCAACUUCAAGGUGACAUCGCAAACUUAAUUAGUGAGAGCCAAAGGCAGCAACUGGAAUCUGUGAGCUACUCCUCUCGCUAUGCUCUGGGCCUCUUUUAUGAAGCUGGCACGAAGAUUGAUGUCCCUUGGGCUGGGCAGUACAUCACCAGUAAUCCCUGCAUUCGCUUCAUCUCCAUUGAUAAUAAGAAACGCAAUAUAGAGUCAUCAGAAAUCGGGCCUUCCCUUGUGAUUCACACCACUGUCCCAUUUGGAGUUGCACACUUGGAACAGAGCAUUGAGGAUGUGCAGAAGUUAAUCUUCCAGCAGCUGGAGAACAUUUUGCCUGGUUUGCCUCAGCCAGUUGCUACUAAAUGCCAGAAAUGGAGACAUUCACAGGUUACAAAAGCUGCUGCCAACUACCCAGGACAAAUGACUCUUCAUCAUAAACCUUUCCUUGUGUGUGGAGGGGAUGGGUUUACUCAGUCCAACUUUGAUGGCUGCAUCACUUCUGCCCUACGUGUUCUGGAAGCUUUGAAGAGCCAUAUUUAGUACCUGUGUUCUUAUUCUCUACAGAAAUUGAAAUGGAUGUGGGAGUAUCUCGUGCUGGAAGCCAUCCCAGAGGGUCAUGAAACUCAGAUGGCCAGGAUGCCCUAAAAGACCCAGGCCGAAGGCAUCCGACUCCCCUGGGAAAUCGGGAGAGCUAACACUAAUCCUGAUGUGAUAUAUACAGGAGUCUACUAUGGAAUAAAGUCUCUCACAUGAACUUCAACCUAUGCAGAGGGAUGGACAGCUAAGUAAUGGAUCCUGAGGUGCAAAAUCCCAGAAUCACACUCAUUUACAGGCCUAACAUGCCACCAGAGGGGUCAAUCAGGCUCUAAAACGUGACUUUGCACCUGUUUUUAAAGGGCUAGCGGCCUCCUUUGUACUCAGUUACUGCUGACUGGAGGACCCAUCCUUUGCCCAAGAGGCAACUUCUGCAUCUAUCUUGGCAGCAGUUCAAUGAGGGGAUGAGGUUUGGCUGAAGGUGGGUGGAAUCAGCCUGAAAAUGUUCCUUUGCCAAUAUCGUCCAGUCUGGAAAAAGGUGGGCGGAGAUGGAAGGCUUUCGGGCUGAGCUCCCCGCCGACCUUAACUGGAAGUGCUCACACUCUUUCACAUCGGCAGCUGUGUCCUCCUCAGGGAGUUGUCCAACUAAAUGUGAUUUUAAACAUCUGUCAGCUAAAUCAGAGCUCCAAAUUUAGCACUCGGGAACAUUAUGUGGAUUUGUGAUGCUCGCUGGAGAACACUGGAUCUAUAAACCAAGCCCACACGAGACAGCCGGGUGGUACUCCGGCUGAUAAUUUCAUCUAUGACACAUUUAAUUUGCCUGCACAUUUAUGAACGUUAUGUAAAGGGAAAGAGUGACCAGUUCCCUGCAAACAGCUUUCUGAAUUGCUGCAAGCUUGGUAGUGAGAUGGGAGAGCCUUUACACUGGAACACUGAUUGUCUUCCUACCUGAUAAUUUGUGUGGAAAGAAAGAAAAGAGAGAAGAGAGGGGGCAGAGAGAGAGAGAGAGGAAGAAAGAAAGAAAAGAAACAGAGAUAGAAAGAGAAAGAUAGAAAGAGAAAGAAAAGAGAAAGAAAGAAAGAAAGAAAGAAAGAAAGAAAGAAAGAAAGAAAGAAAGAAAGAAAGAAAGAAAGAAAGAAAGAAAGAAAGAAAGAAAGAAAGAAAGAAGAGAAAGAAAGAAAGAAGAGAAAGAAAGAAGAGAAAAGAAAGAGAGAGAGAGAGAAGAAAGAUUGAUUGAUUGAUUCCAAUGGGCUCCUUUUGAGUGAAUUUCCUGAAACUAUUUUCUGCCCUUUCUGGUCCAGCUAUAACUUUGCUCCAGUGCACCCAUCCUGGAGGAAGGGAAGUUCUGCAUGCAGUCAUGACUCUCAGUUACCACCUUUGAAGAAGUCAAGCGCAGGAGAACCAUCCUUCCUCUCCUUUGGAUGGAUGAGUCUGAAGAGAUGUGCUGCUCUUCGGGAGAACUGUGAAGCCAGGUCUUAAAUUCAAAGGCCCUCUCUUUGCUGAGGCAACGCUCCUGGAUGAUUGGCUAGAAAUCCUCAGUGCAUAUGGGGGUUUGAAACUCAUCCUAUCAGUUACUGAGAUCAUGGUGUCCUUGACGGGAGAUAAGGUGAGAAAUAACCUUGUGAUUCAGUGUGAGUUCCCAAUAGAUGACUUAGCACAGUAGACUAAAACGUGUGAAUUUGCUUUGCUAAGGUUAGUGCCAAAGCUCACAGCAUCCAAAGUCCAUUUCUCCAUCAAGCCUCAGAGUUACUUACCCCCUUCACUGAAGUCCCAAGACAGCCUGUCAGUGCCUCUCAUCUGGUAUUAAUGUGUGAUGUUGUUAGCGAGUGUCUUAAAAUGCCUCUGUGAUCUCUAAGGAGGCAGAGAUGGCAUUUAAUUUGGCCUGUAUUCCUAAGAUUAGGAUAGGCCCAUAGACUAGACAAUGGACAUUUUAUAGGUAGUGAAUAAAUGCAUGAGGGACUGGCCCUAGUUUGAACGGCUUAAGAGUAUACCAUCGAGAGGCAAGGAAGGGUGGUUUGGGCGCGGGGUUGAUGGCAAAAGAAGAACCCCUGCAAAGGUCCCCUGGAUAAUCCACACGUGGAUAGUGCCUGUGUGCAGGGAACUGACUCAACACAAGUUUCCCUUGGUGUUGGAGACAGGGUAGUCCUGUCAGAGGUACCAAAGGCCAGUGAGGACAGCCAGGAGAAUGGGCACAGAGGAGCGCUGCCUUCUACAUGGAGUUGUGUUAGGGCGCUGAGCAGGGAGGGUCUCCUGCCUCAAAAUGUCUUCCUUCUGCAAUUAGAGUAUUUGAAAUGUAUUCCUGGAAGGCAUGUUGAUUCUUCCCUCUUUUCUUCCCACCUCCCGGAUGACACGCUUACCUUGAGAGGCCACAUAUAGUAAUAGUUAAAACCAAAGACUGUUGCACCAGCCAGAUCAGGGUUCAAAUCCCAGUCCAUAAUUCACCAAGGUGUAUUAUCAUAGGGAUAUGACUAAACUUCUCUGAGCUGACUCAUUAGGUAGUUUAAAUGAGCCGGUGUGAGUAAAGUAGCUAGCACAUAGCAAAUGUUCAGUGUAGUCGGUAAUGGCAUCACUUCUAUAAUUAGUUUGGACUCUCAUUAGCAAAUGAGUAAGAAUGGACCUGGACCUCAGGGAGGUGCCUCUGUCUUGGUCUGUGCAUCUGCUCUGUUCUCCUCUCAGCUUCUUCUCUUCUCGGGUCCACAUCAUUCACAGAGAAAACCCACCUCUCAACGCCUAAACUGACACAUUGCAGAUUCAGCUCCCUAAAAAGAGACCAACACAAAUCUUUU
RNA transcript from Camelus dromedarius (Arabian camel), 3919 nucleotides. It is a transcript of the gene named renalase, FAD dependent amine oxidase, with no coding region annotated. NCBI's taxonomy places the organism in Eukaryota, Metazoa, Chordata, Mammalia, Artiodactyla, Camelidae. The transcript has 10 exons. The record is from RefSeq and is a predicted model, not a curated record.